RNAcentral lists this ribosomal RNA (497 nucleotides) under uncultured bacterium. Its description in RNAcentral is "partial 16S ribosomal RNA". It matches the Rfam family "Bacterial small subunit ribosomal RNA", at positions 28 to 507 of the family's 1533-position model. The record is from RNAcentral.
GAUGAACGCUGGCGGCGUGCCUAAUACAUGCAAGUCGAGCGAACAGACGAGGAGCUUGCUCCUCUGACGUUAGCGGCGGACGGGUGAGUAACACGUGGAUAACCUACCUAUAAGACUGGGAUAACUUCGGGAAACCGGAGCUAAUACCGGAUAAUAUAUUGAACCGCAUGGUUCAAUAGUGAAAGACGGUUUUGCUGUCACUUAUAGAUGGAUCCGCACCGCAUUAGCUAGUUGGUAAGGUAACGGCUUACCAAGGCGACGAUGCGUAGCCGACCUGAGAGGGUGAUCGGCCACACUGGAACUGAGACACGGUCCAGACUCCUACGGGAGGCAGCAGUAGGGAAUCUUCCGCAAUGGGCGAAAGCUUGACGGAGCAACGCCGCGUGAGUGAUGAAGGUCUUCGGAUCGUAAAACUCUGUUAUUAGGGAAGAACAAAUGUGUAAGUAACUAUGCACGUCUUGACGGUACCUAAUCAGAAAGCCACGGCUAACUACGUG